Molecule: ribosomal RNA, 274 nt
Filed under: uncultured bacterium
Lineage: Bacteria
Description: partial 16S ribosomal RNA
Rfam family: Bacterial small subunit ribosomal RNA
Source: RNAcentral
AUACGAAGGGGGCAAGCGUUGUUCGGAAUAACUGGGCGUAAAGCGCACGUAGGCGGAAUGUUAAGUUAGAGGUGAAAUCCCAGGGCUCAACCCUGGAACUGCCUUUAAUACUGGCAAUCUAGAGACCGAGAGAGGUGAGUGGAAUUCCGAGUGUAGAGGUGAAAUUCGUAGAUAUUUGGAGGAACACCAGUGGCGAAGGCGGCUCACUGGCUCGGUACUGACGCUGAGGUGCGAAAGCGUGGGGAGCAAACAGGAUUAGAAACCCUUGUAGUCC